GAAGGAGGUGGAGAGCCAUGUACUAGAAAGGACGUGGAAGAUGCAAUGGCUUUGGUAAGGCUUAUACCGAUAUGGAUCACAUCGGUCAUCAGCACGAUUCCCUAUGCUCAAUACUCUACCUUCUUCACCAAGCAAGGCGUUACGGUAGACAGAAAAAUCUUGCCGGGUUUCGAAAUCCCUCCAGCUUCUUUCCAGUCAUUUAUCGGUGUGUCGAUUCUCAUCUCAGUUCCAACUUAUGAACGUGUAUUCCUCCCGUUAGCUAGAUACAUUACCAAAAAGCCUUCCGGGAUCACAAUGCUCCAGAGAAUCGGAGCUGGAAUGGUGCUCUCUAGCUUCAACAUGGUGGUGGCCGCGUUGGUAGAGACCAAACGGCUAGAGAUAGCUAAGGAGUACGGGCUUGUGGAUAGACCGGAUGCAACCGUGCCAAUGUCUAUAUGGUGGUUCGUUCCUCAGUAUAUAUUGCUCGGGAUGAUUGAUGUGUUCUCGCUAGUGGGUACACAAGAGUUCUUCUACGACCAAGUUCCAACGGAGCUAAGGAGCAUUGGUCUUGCGCUCUCUUUGAGUGCGAUGGGUCUUUCGAGCUUCUUGAGUGGUUUCCUCAUCACUGUGAUUAAUUGGGUUACGGGAAAAGAUGGCGGUGAUAGCUGGUUCAACACUAACUUAAACCGAGCUCAUGUCGAUUACUUCUACUGGUUGCUCGCCGCUUUCACCGCCGUUGGAUUCUUGGCGUUUUUGUUCUUCUCCAGGUUGUAUAUGUACCGCCGGGUAGACCAAGUCUAAGAACAAGAAAAGUCAAGUUGUAUCGAAAAUUCAUUGUUCAUUUGUAAUUUAAACUGAUUACUGUAAAUUUUUUGAAAGUGAGCUCGGAUCAUAAGCUGGAUCAGUUAUACGAUCAUGAAAAGGCAACCAACAUGAGAAACUUUUCAAUAGGCUUACGUGCAUUGCAAGCUAUAUGAGUACUAUACAAUAUAACCAUAAGGAUCCCAAAAAGGCGACCGAUAUGACUAAUCCGAUCAUGAAUCAAGAUGGGAAAGUAAUAUUGGUGUGAUGAAAGUGUAUUUAAAUAUUAACAAUAGUACCUGCGAUAUUAUUUUACUCGAGAUUUGGGUUUAAAGGGUGUUGAGCCUCUUAGAGAUGUAGGACUUUGAAAAAUACAAGUAGGAGGCGAAGCCAAUGAUGCUGGAACAAGAAAAGUAAUCCAGAUGAGCCUGAGCCAACCCCACGCUCCUCAGCUCACUCGGGACCUGGUCUUAGAAGAACCACACAGGUUUGCGUCCAUCUUUGUGCUAGUGCCACUACAUAUCUAGAGAUCAAAAGAUUAUAUAAAGUAUAACUCACUUUUAUUAUUGUUUAAGAAAAUAACUCAAAACUUAAGCUCAAUCUCUAAUCUCUUAAAGCUAUGCAACACACUUGCAUCUUCUUAUAUAGAGAUUUAUAAUUCCUAAUCCUAAUAGGUAAUACUUUUAGAUAACUCCUAAAUAUCUAGAUAACUCCUAAACAUACAACUCUCUGUAAUGGGGAGUAGGCAUGUUCUUUCGAAGGCCCUGCAAAAAAAAUUAAUCUUUGAAGUUAAUAUCAACAGUAUUAACAAGUUCUAUGAUUAACAAUUUCUAUAAAUCUAGCUAAAUUCCCUACGUUAACCACCUAAUCAACACUCAUUAACAUAAAAUCCGUAAACCAAUCUAAAUUCCUUACACUAACCACCUAAUAUAUCCUAAACUAAUCAAAUUAGAGAGGAAUUAGAGAGAGUUACCAUUGCUACGAAAUAGAGAGGAAGUGGAGAGGAAGUUGAGACGAAAUGAAAGUGUGAGCGCUCGCGAGUAUAUAUAAGAGAUUAGAUAUCCUCGUAAUUUCCUCGUAUAUUUACGAGGAAUUACAAAGGCCCGCGUUUUGUUUCCUCGUAAAGCCCACGUUAAAUUACGAGAAAAUAGCAAGGCCCAUGUUUUUAUUUUACGAGGAAAUAGCAAGGCCCGCGUUUUCCAGUUACUAGGUCUUUACGAUGAUUUCUGCUUACGUGGAAUUAACGAGUCCCGCGUUCUUUAUUUUUUAAUUUCGUCGUUAUUUCCCCAUUAUUUUACGAGGAAAUUACGAGGAUUAUGUUUAAAUCCCUAAAAUCCGAAACCCCAAACCCCAUCUUCCUUAUCUUCUACUUCAUAUAUUCCAAACCCCAAACCCAUCUUCCCUUUAACGAGGAACUCGUGAGGUCCGUGUUUGGUUUCCUCGUAACGUCCUCGUUCAUUUACAAGGAAUUAGCGAGGCCUGCUUUUUUAUUUACGAGAAAUGAGACGAAGCUAAUUGGUCGUAAAACCUUUCAAAAUUUCCUAAAAAUACUCACCAGUUUGCUUCUCAAAUCAAAGAUAAACUCACCAAUUUGCUUCUCAAAUCAGAGAUAAUUACUCACCAGUUUGCUUCUCAAAUUAGAAAGAUUUGAAAAAAAAAGAAGGAGAAGAAAGACACUGGAACACAUGUGGGCGGAGACAAGGCUAGACUUACGUAGGAUUCGCCUUGUUUCUUCCCACCUGUGAUUCCAGUAUCUUUCUUCUCUUUUUUUUCAAAUAUUACAACGGUAGUCCCUAAUUGGUCGUUAAGAGAGGAAAUAGAUUCCACGAUUCUGAUCAGCACCUUCUCAAUGGGUUGCUUCGUGACUUCACUCAGUAGUUCUUGUAACCAUAUGGCCUGCUUUGCAGCCUCUGUUCCAGCCAUAAAUUCUGCUUCACAUGAAGAAAGGGCAACUGUAUCUUGCUUACUUGAGUUCCACGUGAUGAGACUUUUGCCGAGAUAGAAAAUGUGACCUCCAGUGCUUCUCCCAUCAUCUAUGUCCACGUUGUGGCUGCUAUCACUGUAACCAAUAAGCUUAGGAAUCCCUGGUGUUGAACGUUCAAACACAAGACCAAGUGAUGUUGUUCCUUGAAGAUAUCUGAUUCUUCUCCACUGAUGAUUCGUCCUCGAAGUGUAACUUUGAUCACAGCUAACCAAUUUAUUCCCGAUUCUCUCAUUUAAGAAAAUAACUCAAAACUUAAGCUCAAUCUCUAAUCUCUUAAAGCUAUGCAACACACUUGCAUCUUCUUAUAUAGAGAUUUAUAAUUCCUAAUCCUAAUAGGUAAUACUUUUAGAUAACUCCUAAAUAUCUAGAUAACUCCUAAACAUUAAUAUUCCUAUUUUUCCAUAAUUCGGUAGGAUUAGGUAGAUAACUUCUAACUCAAGUUUCCUUUUCUUUCAAGCUUAAUCCAACAGUCUCCCCCUUAAGCUUGAAACCAGGGGUCGAACCAUUCACAUUUGAAGAGUUAGGAAUUUACGACGAAAUUUAGUUAGGUUGCCGGAAAAAAAACGUGUUACAACUACAAAGUUGGUGGAUUCAAAAUUUCCUCGCUAAGUAGACGUAAAAUAUUUCCUCGUAAAGUACACGCUACAUUUACGUCGACUUUACGAGGAAAGCGUAUAAAAGCCACGUGACAUUACAUCGACUUUACGGCGAAAUGAUUUCGUCGUUAUUUUACGAAGAAAUAACGUUGAUUUUAUAUUUCCUCGUAAGUUCCUCGUAAAGUCGACGUAAAUUUACGAGGAUUUGUUUUUCUCGUUAAGUUUCCUCGCUAAACUUGUAUUUUCUUGCAGUGUAAAUACGAUUUUUGGUAUUGAAUAAAUUUACAUUCAGUUAAAAAGUUCUGAACAAAAUCAUGUUUACCUCAUUCUGAAUAAUUAGAUUUUUUGUUUCAAAAUAUCUGUUAUUAGUUUUAGAAUAUUUAUAAAUAUUAGUUUAAUUUCACGUUAAACUUGAACAUAUUUGUAAAUGCUUUUAAAUUACAAAAUACAAAUGUAAGUAUAAAACCAAUAACACCUUAUAUAUUUGGGGAUCGUUAUUACAGGGACUAGGACUAUUGACCUUGUCGGCUUUCUUAAUCACAAUAAGAAUAUCAGAGCAACGAAACGAUUCAGUUAAAACGUUUUUCUGGGUGAAUAUACUUUUCUUCUGCUCUCUCUAUAUGGUGGCGAUCGGACAAGGCGGCCACAAACCGUGUGUUCAAGCGUUUGGUGCUGAUCAAUUCGACUCGAGAGAUUCAAAGGGGAGAAUAUCUAGAGGAUCGUUUUUCAACUGGUGGUUCAUGACUUUAUCCGCCGGAAUCACUUUAUCUUUUCUUGUGGUGGUUUACGUUCAAGACAAUAUAAGCUGGGCGCUUGGGUUUGGGAUCCCAUGUCUGUUCAUGGUUAUGGCUCUAGCUCUCUUCUUGCUCGGAAGAAAAACUUACAGAUACCCAAAAGAAGAUUACAAGGAGAAGAACGCUUUGGCAAGAAUCGGUAGAGUGUUCGUCACGGCUUACAAGAACCGAAAACUGAAUUUAGCUGAUCCGGGUUUGGGGGAAAGUCUAUUGGAGGAUGGUUCGUCUCAGAAAUGUAGAGGCUGGCUUGAGUAAGUUGCAUAAGUUUCUAAUUGAAUCUUUGUUUUUUGAGUUUGACCUAUAAUUUUGAGUGUGAAUGCCUUUCAUUUUGACCUAAAGGUGCUUAGGGAAAGCGUUACUACCAGGAGAAGGAGGUGGAGAGCCAUGUACUAGAAAGGACGUGGAAGAUGCAAUGGCUUUGGUAAGGCUUAUACCGAUAUGGAUCACAUCGGUCAUCAGCACGAUUCCCUAUGCUCAAUACUCUACCUUCUUCACCAAGCAAGGCGUUACGGUAGACAGAAAAAUCUUGCCGGGUUUCGAAAUCCCUCCAGCUUCUUUCCAGUCAUUUAUCGGUGUGUCGAUUCUCAUCUCAGUU
RNAcentral lists this long non-coding RNA (4749 nucleotides) under Brassica napus (rape). RNAcentral describes it as "long non-coding RNA (BNAP_LNC015095)". The record is from RNAcentral. Lineage: Eukaryota; Viridiplantae; Streptophyta; Magnoliopsida; Brassicales; Brassicaceae.